This 484-nucleotide ribosomal RNA is filed under the name uncultured bacterium. RNAcentral describes it as "partial 16S ribosomal RNA". It matches the Rfam family "Bacterial small subunit ribosomal RNA", at positions 30 to 507 of the family's 1533-position model. The record is from RNAcentral.
AUUGAACGCUGGCGGCAGGCCUAACACAUGCAAGUCGAGCGGAUGAAGGGAGCUUGCUCCUGGAUCCAGCGGCGGACGGGUGAGUAAUGCCUAGGAAUCUGCCUGCUAGUGGGGGAUAACGUCCGGAAACGGGUGCUAAUACCGCAUACGUCCUGAGGGUGAAAGUGGGGGAUCUUCGGACCUUACGCUAUCAGAUGAGCCUAGGUCGGAUUAGCUAGUUGGUGGGGUAAAGGCCUACCAAGGCGACGAUCCGUAACUGGUCUGAGAGGAUGAUCAGUCACACGGGAGCGGAGACACGGACCAGGCUCCUGCGGGAGGCAGCAGUGGGGAAUGGUGGACAAUGGGCGAAAACCUGAUACAGCCAGGGCGCGUGUGUGAAGGAGGUCUUCGGAUUGUGAAGCACUUUAAGUUGGGAGAAAGGGCAGUAGGUUGAUACCUUGCUGUUUUGACGGUACCGGCAGAAGAAGCACCGGCUAACUUCGUG